Long non-coding RNA from Cloeon dipterum, 929 nucleotides. RefSeq lists it as uncharacterized. Lineage: Eukaryota; Metazoa; Arthropoda; Insecta; Ephemeroptera; Baetidae. The transcript is spliced from 4 exons. The record is from RefSeq and is a predicted model, not a curated record.
GGAUCUCAUUUCAUGAUAGAGCGAUAUAAUUUUUAAGCGUAUGGAUAAAGUGCAUUUAUCAAAUGUUGUCAAAACGUCUGCUAUCAAAGAAUCUGCUUGUAAUUUAUAUCGGUUUUUUUACAUGGUAUUGAAUAUUGUCGAUAAUGAUUUAAAUAUGAAUUCUCUUAUUUUUCCACAGUUAAUGAGUUGAGUGGACGAGAGGAGUUUGACGAGUUGCUCCUAGCGUACGCCCGAGAUGUCAUGAUUGAACCUUCAAGUCGAGAUUUACCUUACUUCUUGGAAAGCAAGAAUAAUAAGGAAUACAAUGGCCAAAAUUACACCCAGAUAUUUUCCACUUUACUAAAAAACAAAACAAACGGAUUUUUUGUAGACUGCGGAUCAUUUGAUGGCGAACAUGGAUCUGUUUCUAUGAGCUUUGAGGCUGAUCAUAAUUGGAGUGGACUACUUGUAGACGCAUCACCCAUAUCAUUGCAAAAAAUAUUGCUAAAAAGUAGAAAAGCGUGGUUCGCUCCAACGUGCAUGAGUCCAGAAAGAAAAUCCAUGAUGGUAUCGUUUGAGGAACAGGGAAUGCAAAGUCACAUUACGAAGGAUGAAAAAAAAGCUACAGGUCCGGUGGUGAGAUCUCUGUGCUUACCCUUCCACACCUUGAUGAAGGCGUUGGGGGUGUCGAAAGUGGACCUUUUUAACUUGGACGUGGAGGGAAAUGAGCUGCCCAUUUUAAAAACUAUUGACUUUAAUCUUGUGCAGAUUGACGCAAUGACUAUUGAGCACUACAAUAAUAAUGAGAAUGAUAGAAACGAAAUCAAACGAAUAAUGCAGGAAAAUGGAUUCAAAUUUCACGGUCAAAACGGCUUUGACUUUAUGUUUAUCCACAGCCGGGUCUAACAGCCCAUCUGUAACUGUCACUUUAACUUAAGAAAUAAAAACUU